GACGAACGCUGGCGGCGUGCCUAAUACAUGCAAGUCGAACGGUUUAGUUCCAAGAGGCAAGCCUCUUGGAACUAAGCAGUGGCGGACGGGUGAGUAACACGUAGGCAACCUACCUGUCAAACCGGGAUAACCUCGGGAAACCGAAGCUAAACCCGGAUAAGCUCCUUUUUCGCAUGAAGGGGGAGUGAAAAGGUGCGACCUGAUGACAGAUGGGCCUGCGGCGCAUUAGCUAGUAGGUAGGGUAACGGCCUACCUAGGCGAUGAUGCGUAGCCGACCUGAGAGGGAGUACGGCCACACUGGGACUGAGAUACGGCCCAGAAUCCUACGGGAGGCAGCAGUAGGGAAUCUUCGGCAAUGGGCGAAAGCCUGACCGAGCAACGCCGCGUGAGUGAGGAAGGCCUUCGGGAUGUAAAACUCUGUUGUUUGGGAAGAAGGGAAAGGGUAGGACCCUUAGGUGACGGUACCAAACGAGAAAGCCCCGGCUAACUACGUG
Molecule: ribosomal RNA, 494 nt
Filed under: uncultured bacterium
Lineage: Bacteria
Description: partial 16S ribosomal RNA
Rfam family: Bacterial small subunit ribosomal RNA
Source: RNAcentral